RNAcentral lists this ribosomal RNA (600 nucleotides) under Bacillus sp. S1(2015a). RNAcentral's name for it is "bacterial SSU rRNA". It matches the Rfam family "Bacterial small subunit ribosomal RNA", at positions 130 to 716 of the family's 1533-position model. Lineage: Bacteria; Bacillati; Bacillota; Bacilli; Caryophanales; Bacillaceae. The record is from RNAcentral.
CUGUAAGACUGGGAUAACUCCGGGAAACCGAUGCUAAUACCGGAUGGUUGUUUGACCCGCAUGGUUCAGACAUAAAAUGUGGCUUCGGCUACCACUUACAAAUGGACCCGCGGCGCAUUAUCUAGUUGGUGAGGUAACGGCUCUCAAGGCAACGAUGCGUAACCGACCUGAAAGGGUGAUCGGCCACGCUGGGACUGAGACAUUGCCCAGACUCCUACGGGAGGCAUCAGUAGGGAAUCUUCCGCAAUGGACGAAAGUCUGACUGAGCAACUCCGCGUGAGUGAUGAUAGUUUUCGGAUCGUAAAGCUCUGUUGUUAGGGAAGAACAAGUGCCGUUCAAAUAUGGCGGCACCUUGACGGUACCUAACCAGAAUUCCUGGGCUAACUACGUGCCAACACCCGCGUUAAUACCUAAGUGGCAAGCGUUGUCCGGAAUUAUUGGGCGUAAAGGGCUCGCACGCGGUUUCUUACCUCUGAUGUGAAAGCCCCCGGCUCAACCGGGGAGGGUCAUUGGAAACUGGGGAACUUGAGUGCAUAACAGGAGAGUGUAAUUCCACGUGUAUCGAUGAUAUGCGUAGAGAUGUGGAGGAGCACCAGUGAC